CCUACGGGAGGCUGCAGUGGGGAAUAUUGGACAAUGGGGGCAACCCUGAUCCAGCCAUGCCGCGUGUGUGAAGAAGGCCCUCGGGUUGUAAAGCACUUUCAGUGAGGAAGAACGCCUGGUGGUUAAUACCCAUCAGGAAAGACAUCACUCACAGAAGAAGCACCGGCUAACUCCGUGCCAGCAGCCGCGGUAAUACGGAGGGUGCGAGCGUUAAUCGGAAUUACUGGGCGUAAAGCGCGCGUAGGUGGCUUGAUAAGCCGGUUGUGAAAGCCCCGGGCUCAACCUGGGAACGGCAUCCGGAACUGUCAGGCUAGAGUGCAGGAGAGGAAGGUAGAAUUCCCGGUGUAGCGGUGAAAUGCGUAGAGAUCGGGAGGAAUACCAGUGGCGAAGGCGGCCUUCUGGACUGACACUGCCACUGAGGUGCGAAAGCGUGGGUAGCAAACAGGAUUAGAUACCCCAGUAGUC
RNAcentral lists this ribosomal RNA (465 nucleotides) under Vreelandella stevensii. RNAcentral's name for it is "partial 16S ribosomal RNA". It matches the Rfam family "Bacterial small subunit ribosomal RNA", at positions 338 to 795 of the family's 1533-position model. Lineage: Bacteria; Pseudomonadati; Pseudomonadota; Gammaproteobacteria; Oceanospirillales; Halomonadaceae. The record is from RNAcentral.